UCUUUGCUAGGCUUUUGCCAAGAGUAAAUAUCUUGGAGAAUAAGUGGUGGGAAAGACUGGUGCCAGCCGCCGCGGUAACACCAGCGCCACGAAUGGGGAUCCUGUUUAUUUGGCCUAAAGCGUCCGUAGCUGGUUUAGUAAAUCUCUUGUGAAAUCGUUAGGCUUAACUUAACGGCGUGCAGGAGAGACUGCUAGACUAGGGACCGGGAGGAGUCAGAGGUAUGUUGGGGGGAGCGGUAAAAUGCUAUAAUCCUCAGUAGACCACCUAUGGCGAAGGCAUCUGACUAGAACGGGUCCGACAGUGAGGGACGAAAGCCAGGGGAGCAAACCGGAUUAGAUACCCGAGUAGUCCUGGCUGUAAACGCUGCGAGCUAGGUGUUGCAUAUUCUCCGUGAAUAUGCAGUGUCGAAGCGAAGGUGUUAAGCUCGCCGCCUGGGAAGUAUGGUCGCAAGACUGAAGCUUAAAGGAAUUGGCGGGGGAGCACUACAAGGGGUGCGGCGUGCGGUUUAAUCUAACUCCACACAGAGAAUCUCACCAGAAGCGACGGCAGGAUGAAGGUCAGUCUGAAGGGCUUACCUGACGAGCCGAGAGGUAGUGCAUGGCCGCCGUCAGCUCGUGCCGUAAGGUGUCCUGUUAAGUCAGGCAACGAGCGAGACCUGUAUUCACAAUUGCUAACGACUCAUCUUGAGAAUCGAGCACAUUGUGGGGACUGCCUUGGAAACAAGGAGGAAGGUGCAGGCAACGGUAGGUCUGUAUGCUCCGAAUCUUCUGGGCUACACGCGCGCAACAAUGGUACGGACAAUGGGCUGCAACUCCGAAAGGAGAAGCUAAACCUCGAAACCGUAUCUAAGUCCAGAUUGAGGAUUGUAACCCAUCCUCAUGACGCUGGAAUCCCUAGUAAUCGAAUGUCAUGAGCGUUCGGUGAGUAUGUGCCUGCUCCUUGCACGAAUUCGCCGA
RNAcentral lists this ribosomal RNA (957 nucleotides) under uncultured crenarchaeote. RNAcentral's name for it is "bacterial SSU rRNA". It matches the Rfam family "Archaeal small subunit ribosomal RNA", at positions 396 to 1353 of the family's 1478-position model. Lineage: Archaea; Thermoproteati; Thermoproteota. The record is from RNAcentral.